GACGAACGCUGGCGGCGUGCUUAACACAUGCAAGUCGAGCGGGAACCUCGGCAGGGGUAACCCUUCCGAGGGGAGAGCGGCGAACGGGUGAGUAACACGUGGGCAACCUGCCCCGGACACCGGGAUAACCCAGGGAAACCUGAGCUAAUACCGGAUACUCCGGCACGAUCGCAUGGUCGUGCCGGGAAAGCUCCGACGGUCCGGGAUGGGCCCGCGGCCUAUCAGCUUGUUGGUGAGGUAACGGCCCACCAAGGCGACGACGGGUAGCUGGUCUGAGAGGACGGCCAGCCACACUGGGACUGAGACACGGCCCAGACUCCUACGGGAGGCAGCAGUGGGGAAUCUUGCGCUAAUGCGCGAAAGCGUGACGCAGCGACGCCGCGUGGGGAUGAAGGCCCUCGGGUUCGUAAACCCCUUUCGCCAGGGAAGAAGGGAAACUGACGGUACCUGGAGAAGAAGUCCCGGCUAACUACGUGCCAGCAGCCGCCGCGGUAAU
This 496-nucleotide ribosomal RNA is filed under the name uncultured bacterium. Its description in RNAcentral is "bacterial SSU rRNA". It matches the Rfam family "Bacterial small subunit ribosomal RNA", at positions 28 to 524 of the family's 1533-position model. The record is from RNAcentral.